GGCAGGGCAGGGAGGCUGAGGCUGGGGCCUGGAGUGAGUGCACUAAGCUCACGUGGUCAUGGCCAGGCUUGGGCUGGGAAAGCAGACCUGAGAAUGGACAGACAGACAUGGGAAGGGGGCUCAUGGUGAGAUUCAGUGACUUCUUGGCCUUGUGGUGAAAGAGGAAAGGAUGCUUUAUGGUGGUGCUUACUUUAUCAGACGUGAGUGAAUGGUAAGUGUUGAUGUUUUCACCAAGUGACCUUGGAGGAGAAACAGCUGGAUGAGGGAGGGUGAAGAGCCAGCUUGGACCAUCUUGAAUGAGCUGCGGUUUGUUAUGGGGCGGUAUCAGGAGAAGCCUCCUUUACUCAUGACUUCCACAGCUCAGUUUUCACAGAAGUGAGGCUUAUUAGCUGCACAUCAUAGAGACGGACCUGGGGUGCUCUUAAUCUUCUUCUCCCCUAUCACCCUAACAACUAGUGGAGAUGUUCCUUAGACGUCAGCUGGAAUCAAAAAGUGGGCAAGUUCUGAACAACCCGAAGCUGCUAGCUCACCCAUGCUGAAAAUUCUGGGUGGACUGAAAAAAAAAGGAGGAAACAGAUCACCUCUUUCUAGGUGCUUCCAUGAUAAAGACAUUUCACAGUCAUGGAAUUACGUAAUAUGUGGUCCUCCGCUGUUGAGGUUCAUCCGGGCUGCAGCAUGGACCAGUGCUAGGUGCUCGUGAAGGCUGACUACAAAUCCACCAUAUGGAGAUGCACGUUAGGAAAAAAUCCCACUCAUCAGCUGAUGGGCAUCUGGGUUGUCGAGGGACUUUUUCUUGGAAAGGCAAUGCAUACAGCGCUCAGAGGGAGAAUGGACUAUAACAUGGUUUAAUCCUAGAGCAGCUUUCACACCAGACCUCCUGAGCUUAACAGGGAGCCCAGGCCAGCUCCUCUCACUCUGAGCAAAAGCUGCUGCAUGCAUUCCUAGCUCCACUUCAGAGAGAAUGACACUGAGUCCUAGGAAGACAGGAACUUGUGCUAAAAGCCAUACACAUGCCACGAAGCAGAGGAGAACUCAUAGUUCCAGACGUGCAUGUGUCCCACAGCCAUCUCCGCCAAUUCAUCAAGACCAUUUUGUAUCAUCUAAGAUGACGUUGAUUGUGAAGACGUGUUUCUGAUGCACCACUAAGAAUGAGAACAUGCUGCCAAGUAAACUAUCGUAUAUGACUUCCUGGAACCAUCGAUCGUAGGAUGCAUUCCACAUUCAGAGGUGUUAAAAUGGUAGCAAACAUGCGCCCCAGAGCAGAUGCCAUGCAUUCCUUUUUCAGCCAGUGCUGGGCAGUCCUGGCGUGCCCAUGCAUCCUCCCUCCCUCUGUGCAGUCCUGCCUCCUUCCCUCUGACUCUUAUCUUGAUGCACAAUCAUCCAGGGACCCCACACUAUCCCCCAGAAUCCUCUCUCUCCCUUUCUUUCCCACUUUGUCAUCUAAACAGUCACUCCUCCUGGACAGGCUCUAAGGGCUCCUCACACUGUCAAGCCCUCUCUCUGGCCUCUUCCUUGUCCAUCAGCACGCCUGCAGCCUCUCCAAGCCUCCACACUGCCUGCUCAUCUGUGGGAUGGUAUCGCUGCUUCCUGAAAGCCUCUGAUGUGGAUCCCCAGCAUCUACAGAGAGUCAGAACUCCUCUGUUGGACAACUGGGUCCUGGCUUGUUCCGAGGUCUGGUUCCAGGCCCGGGUCCCACACACCGUGUGCUUCUGCAUUCUGGUAGGCUUGCUGUUGGAGGGGCUCACCUGGACUCCCUGCCUCAUCCAGAGUUCCCCUCCAGGAACGCUCCUUCUAUAAUCACAGUUGGGAGACCCAGUGACGUGGCUUCACCCCAUCACUUUCCUGGGCAGCAUCCUUGCUUUGGAACUCGAGCGGGGUGGGGAGCAGCAGAGUUGGAUUAAAGUGUUCCUGGACCUCCUUCCCGAUGCCACCUGGACACCAUAAACAUCCACUCCCACCUUCACCAUCAACUGCAACGCUGCGGUUAUCACAUCACCAUCGUCAUCACCCUCAUCUGCACGUCCCUUGGUAGACGCACCUCUGGAGGACAGACAUCUUACCACUGUGCUAACAAGGCCCAAACAGAGUAGGUGGUCUACACUAGCUGGCUGAGUUGAAACCAGGAUUCAGGCAGAGCUGUUCUCGUGAGGAACAGAGGGCAAAAAUGACCCUGCUCUAGAAACUGAGCCUGUUGGCUGUUGGGGGCAGUAGGAGUUGCUGUACACAUCAUUAAGGAAGAAUGGCACUGACAUCUCUUUGACAUCUGUGCUUCAGAUUCAGCUGAGCAGAGCAGCUCCUGCAGGCUCCUCUGAGCAGGGCAGAGCUGCCUUCAGACAGGCUCAGAUUGCCGGAAACCUUUACUUCCCAUGCUGAGAUCAAACCCCCUUGCUUCUUUAUACGAUUGCAGCCCUUGGCAUCUCUUCUAUUCAUUGUGAGUUUGAUAAAUGAGGGAACCAGGGAAGUCCAACGAGUGACUCAAAUGUACUGCGGCUUUAUGAAGGAGGCAAAGGAGAAAGUCUAUUGAAGAGGGAAGGAUGGACGUCGCGCUCCCAGACUUCAGGCUCUUGCUGUUCUCUCCCCUUGGAGAAUUUUGAAAUAAAUGAGACUUGA
Molecule: long non-coding RNA, 2610 nt
Organism: Tupaia belangeri chinensis (Chinese tree shrew)
Lineage: Eukaryota; Metazoa; Chordata; Mammalia; Scandentia; Tupaiidae
Exons: 5
Source: RefSeq, a predicted model, not a curated record